Molecule: ribosomal RNA, 474 nt
Filed under: uncultured organism
Description: partial 16S ribosomal RNA
Rfam family: Bacterial small subunit ribosomal RNA
Source: RNAcentral
ACUCCUGCGGGAGGCAGCAGUGGGGAAUUUUGGACAAUGGGCGAAAGCAUGAUCCAGCAAUGCCGCGUGAGUGAAGAAGGCCUUCGGGUUGUAAAGCUCUUUUGUCAGGGAAGAAACGGUGAAAGCUAAUAUCUUUUGCUAAUGACGGUACCUGAAGAAUAAGCACCGGCUAACUACGUGCCAGCAGCCGCGGUAAUACGUAGGGUGCAAGCGUUAAUCGGAAUUACUGGGCGUAAAGCGUGCGCAGGCGGUUUUGUAAGUCUGAUGUGAAAUCCCCGGGCUCAACCUGGGAAUUGCAUUGGAGACUGCAAGGCUAGAAUCUGGCAGAGGGGGGUAGAAUUCCACGUGUAGCAGUGAAAUGCGUAGAUAUGUGGAGGAACACCGAUGGCGAAGGCAGCCCCCUGGGUCAAGAUUGACGCUCAUGCACGAAAGCGUGGGGAGCAAACAGGAUUAGAAACCCCGGUAGUCCCAUGA